Molecule: microRNA, 21 nt
Filed under: Oreochromis niloticus (Nile tilapia)
Lineage: Eukaryota; Metazoa; Chordata; Actinopteri; Cichliformes; Cichlidae
Description: oni-miR-10678
Source: miRBase by way of RNAcentral
UUCAAAGUAAAAGCUGUGCCU